AAAAUCCUUCCUUAUCCCUCAGCGUAUGGUGAUAAAGUGUUUAUUCUACUUGCUUUUGGAGGGAUAUAAAUUACUAGGCACUUUUUAAUACCUCCUGCUUCUUCAUGCAACUAUGGAAAAAAAACCUCAGAGUAAAUCAUUGGAAUGCAAUCUACUAUGUGGUGUUUAUUUUGUGGAGGAAGGAACCAUCUUUGUGAAAGGAUGUUUAGGUGUUGGAUAAUAAAACAACAUUUUUCCACGUCGUUUCCUCGUAAACUAAGCGUUCUUGUGCGGAGGCGGACCGACUUCGACGAUUUUGUUGAUGCUGAAAGAAGAAGAUAGCUGAGGACUGAGAAGUGAUUUUUUUCUUUUUUUCCUUCUCUUGAGCAAAAUUACUGCUCAACACCAUGACGGAAUCCAAUCCUUCUAGUGGACCCUCUCCUUCUCCCAAAAUUCCGAAUGAAAUCAGUAGCGGCGGCCCGAAGGCCGAAUUCACAGGCCAGAGGGUCCGGUAUCCGAACCCACCGGAGAUUCAGAAUCCGGACCCUGCAACGCUUCGAGAUCAAUGGAGAUUUGCCAUUAAACAGUAUAGCAAAUGGUACUCACACGCUUGGGGAACUGCUAUACUUGCUGGGAUCUCCUUCUUCACGCUCGGUUGGAUUAUUAAGGGUUCCAAUCCUCUGCCCUCGCGCCAAGAGGAUUCCAAUUCGCCUUCCUCCUCCGCUUCCACCGGUUCACAACAAGCUCGUCCUUGAGUUUUUGACUCUGGAUUUAGCAUAAUCAGUGCCUGAGGAAUGUGGUCGUCUGAAAAAUAAGCCUUCUUUGCUCACCACCGCAUCAGUGGAUGACCGUGCUUAGAGUUUGGGCUCUGUUAAUCUUCAGAAAGCCUUGGUACUGGAAGUACUCAUCAUUUCUGCAAAUAUUAUCAAUAGUCAAACAAAUGGCCCAUAGGAGGAGAUGCAACAAUGUCCAAGCUAUGACAACUCAACAGCAACAACUUGCUUCUCAUUAAAGAAUGUUCUACUCCCAAACCUAUUAGCAAUCUCAAGUUCAUAGUAGACCAUGUCAUGCAUGAACUGGAUUCGUGAUGACAUAAUAACCCAGUUUAUGCCGUAUCAAUUUGACUUAAUAGUAUGAAUUAUGGAAAUGCAUGAAUUUCCCAUGCAUUGACUCAAUGUCACAGACCAAGGUGAUGAAAAUCUGCCUUGUUGACGAGAGGAAUUACAAUAGGAGGGCGUAUUGGUGUGAUUUUGGUGCUCUAGCAACCAUCUGUCCUCAUUUUCAAAUACAAUAUUGCAGGUAUUUUCGUAGAUGAGUUCACACUUGACCCAACAUCCAAAGCCGAGAAUCAAAUGGGUACUCUUCCAAUGGAAGUGGAACGAGUCUAACUCAUCAUCACAUCUAUACAUGUAGAACGUUGAAAUCUCCAUAUUGAAAAUGGGCCAUUCGGAAGAAAGAGAAGCAAAGUCUGAGAGUAGGAAAAUAAAACCUUUUCUGGCCAAGCAGGGUCCCAAAUCUGAGCCUUAAGCCACGAGAAUCUGUCAUCGAUGCGAAAUGCUUCUCCCACUCCAAUGGUGGACAAACAACACCACCUUGAGAGAUUUUUGAUGGACUGAUUUGAAUUUACAAAGAAGUAUUCGUGAUGGAUGAUUUGAGAUGUGAUAAUGUAUGAGACAGAAACAGUGCUCCACAUGUGGCGUUUCUCAGUAAUGUUGGACUGUUUAGCUGAGAAAUCCAACUGCUAUUACGAAAAAUAGUUCUUUCCCACUUGUUAGAUUGAUAGGGGCAGGUUUCUAUGAUCGGAGGGAGAAAUAUGGGAGUUUGUAAUAGAUGUUAUACACUACCUUGUUCAAAAAAGUUUGAAAUUUUAGUUCGAAUCUUGAGUUGGACAAAA
RNA transcript from Momordica charantia (bitter melon), 1873 nucleotides. RefSeq lists it as uncharacterized. The record is from RefSeq and is a predicted model, not a curated record. NCBI's taxonomy places the organism in Eukaryota, Viridiplantae, Streptophyta, Magnoliopsida, Cucurbitales, Cucurbitaceae.